This 468-nucleotide ribosomal RNA is filed under the name uncultured bacterium. Its description in RNAcentral is "partial 16S ribosomal RNA". It matches the Rfam family "Bacterial small subunit ribosomal RNA", at positions 28 to 507 of the family's 1533-position model. The record is from RNAcentral.
GACGAACGCUGGCGGCGUGCUUAACACAUGCAAGUCGAACGGAAAGGCCCUGCUUUUGUGGGGUGCUCGAGUGGCGAAAGGGUGAGUAUCACGUGAGUAACCUGCCCUUUACUUUGGGAUAACUUCAGGAAACUGGGGCUAAUACCGGAUAGGAGCUCCUGCUGCAUGGUUGGGGUUGGAAAGUUUCGGCGGUUGGGGAUGGACUCGCGGCUUAUCAGCUUGUUGGUGGGGUAGUGGCUUACCAAGGCUUUGACGGGUAGCCGGCCUGAGAGGGUGACCGGCCACAUUGGGACUGAGAUACGGCCAAGACUCCUACGGGAGGAAGAAGUGAGGAAUAGUGCAAAAUGGGCGGAAGCCUGAUGCAGGAACGCCGCGUGCGGGAUGACGGCCUUCGGGUUGUAACCCGCGUUCGCCUGGGAAGAAGAGUGAGUGACGGUAAUGGGUAAAGAAGCACCGGCUAACUACGUG